RNAcentral lists this ribosomal RNA (245 nucleotides) under uncultured bacterium. RNAcentral describes it as "partial 16S ribosomal RNA". It matches the Rfam family "Bacterial small subunit ribosomal RNA", at positions 524 to 768 of the family's 1533-position model. The record is from RNAcentral.
UACGUAGGGUGCAAGCGUUGUCCGGAAUUACUGGGUGUAAAGGGUCCGCAGGCGGGCAGACAAGUCGGUGGUGAAAUCCCUCCGCUCAACGGAGGAACUGCCUUCGAUACUGUCUGUCCUGAGCUCGAGAGAGGAUGAUGGAAUUCAUGGUGUAGCGGUGAAAUGCGUAGAGAUCAUGAAGAACACCGGAAGCGAAGGCGGUCAUCUGGCUCGAUACUGACGCUCAGGGACGAAAGCGUGGGGAG